Cucurbita moschata (crookneck pumpkin) is the source of this 474-nucleotide long non-coding RNA. RefSeq lists it as uncharacterized. The record is from RefSeq and is a predicted model, not a curated record. NCBI's taxonomy places the organism in Eukaryota, Viridiplantae, Streptophyta, Magnoliopsida, Cucurbitales, Cucurbitaceae. The transcript is spliced from 2 exons.
AGAGUCACCAUCUCAUCAUUAUGCCAGCGAUUCACUCGCCAAUAUAAAACCCUCCACGCCUCCCUUCCAUUCAUUUUCACGUCACAAUUCUAGGCCAAGAAGAUGUCAAAGCUCGUGGCUCUCUUCUCCAUCGUAGCUCUCGUGACAAUGUCCCUUCUCUCCUCCUCCGACGCUCGUCCCAUUGCUACGUCCAUCGCCACUUCCCUCGACCUCAACCAUAUCGCACAUCAGGUCGUUUCUGAAAAGAGUCACGACGAUGUUUGCGAAGGAGGAGAGACAAAGGAGUGCCUGGCUAAAAGAACGUUAGAGGCUCAUACCGAUUACAUCUAUACCGAUGAUACCAAGUCAUGAGCGGUUGUAUUCCGACCAUUGCGUUCAUAAUUCACCACACAUUCCUCUGAAAAAUGAGGAUAAAUUAUUAUUCCUCCAUGAUUAAUACAGUUUGAUAAUCAAAUAAUAUUAAUAAUUAUUUUU